GGGCAAUUAGCUCAGCGGGAGAGCGCUGCUUUCACAAGGCAGAGGUCGCUGGUUCAACCCCAGCAUUGCCCA
Molecule: transfer RNA, 72 nt
Filed under: bacterium
Lineage: Bacteria
Also listed under: 2 other names
Description: tRNA-Val
Rfam family: tRNA
About the family: Transfer RNA (tRNA) molecules are approximately 80 nucleotides in length.
Source: RNAcentral